ACCUCGGAUCAGGUAGGGAUACCCGCUGAACUUAAGCAUAUCAAUAAGCGGAGGAAAAGAAACCAACAGGGAUUGCCCCAGUAACGGCGAGUGAAGCGGCAAGAGCUCAAAUUUGAAAGCUGGCUCCUUCGGGGUCCGCAUUGUAAUUUGCAGAGGAUGCUUCGGGAGCGGUCCCCAUCUAAGUUCCCUGGAACGGGACGUCAUAGAGGGUGAAAAUCCCGUAUGGGAUGGGGUGUCCGCGCCCGUGUGAAGCUCCUUCGACGAGUCGAGUUGUUUGGGAAUGCAGCUCUAAAUGGGUGGUAAAUUUCAUCUAAAGCUAAAUAUUGGCCGGAGACCGAUAGCGCACAAGUAGAGUGAUCGAAAGAUGAAAAGCACUUUGAAAAGAGAGUUAAAAAGCACGUGAAAUUGUUGAAAGGGAAGCGCUUGCGACCAGACUCGCUCGCGGGGUUCAGCCGGCAUUCGUGCCGGUGUACUUCCCCGCGGGCGGGCCAACGUCGGUUUGGGCGGUCGGUCAAAGGCCCUCGGAAGGUAACGCCCCCAGGGGCGUCUUAUAGCCGAGGGUGCAA
This 566-nucleotide ribosomal RNA is filed under the name Penicillium sp. O_2_BESC_883f. RNAcentral describes it as "eukaryotic LSU rRNA". It matches the Rfam family "Eukaryotic large subunit ribosomal RNA", at positions 1 to 573 of the family's 3401-position model. Lineage: Eukaryota; Fungi; Ascomycota; Eurotiomycetes; Eurotiales; Aspergillaceae. The record is from RNAcentral.